RNAcentral lists this ribosomal RNA (233 nucleotides) under uncultured bacterium. RNAcentral's name for it is "partial 16S ribosomal RNA". It matches the Rfam family "Bacterial small subunit ribosomal RNA", at positions 100 to 334 of the family's 1533-position model. The record is from RNAcentral.
CGGGACGGGUGAGUAAUGUCUGGGAAACUGCCCGAUGGAGGGGGAUAACUACUGGAAACGGUAGCUAAUACCGCAUAACGUCGCAAGACCAAAGAGGGGGACCUUAGGGCCUCUUGCCAUCGGAUGUGCCCAGAUGGGAUUAGCUAGUAGAUGGGGUAACGGCUCACCUAGGCGACGAUCCCUAGCUGGUCUGAGAGGAUGACCAGCCACACUGGAACUGAGACACGGUCCAG